UAUCUAAACUUGCGUAUACUUACACACACUAUUUCACAAGAUCCCAUUAAUAGUCCAUGUUCGCUAUUAAUCCAAAGUCUUUCUCAGAUUAUGACGAUCUUCUUAGCCACAAAGAUACUGCAUGUUGAAGAGGUGAAGCUGUCGUAGUCUACAAAACCUGAAAGCUAGUCUUCAAAACCGGCGAUUGCGAAGUGUUUUGGAAAACUCACGGUACAUUAUAAAAAUCGAUGGUACCCCACGCGAAGGUCACCACUACAGCACAGGACAAUAACAGCAGACYUUAAAGAAGGUGUUAAUUUGUGUGGAUCCAGAGGGUACUGAAGAACAAGGAAAAAACCCAUCAAAGUACAGAAGAGAAGCAACAAUCAUUUAUACUAACACAUCACAUUGUGUACAAGUUUACGAAAUCUGCU
Long non-coding RNA from Actinia tenebrosa (Australian red waratah sea anemone), 413 nucleotides. RefSeq lists it as uncharacterized. Lineage: Eukaryota; Metazoa; Cnidaria; Anthozoa; Actiniaria; Actiniidae. The record is from RefSeq and is a predicted model, not a curated record.